This 253-nucleotide ribosomal RNA is filed under the name uncultured bacterium. RNAcentral's name for it is "partial 16S ribosomal RNA". It matches the Rfam family "Bacterial small subunit ribosomal RNA", at positions 524 to 776 of the family's 1533-position model. The record is from RNAcentral.
UACGGAGGGUGCAAGCGUUAUCCGGAUUUACUGGGUUUAAAGGGUGCGUAGGCGGGCAAGUAAGUCAGUGGUGAAAUCUCCGGGCUUAACCCGGAAACUGCCAUUGAUACUAUUUGUCUUGAAUACUGUGGAGGUCAGCGGAAUAUGUCAUGUAGCGGUGAAAUGCUUAGAUAUGACAUAGAACACCAAUUGCGAAGGCAGCUGGCUGCACAAAUAUUGACACUGAGGCACGAAAGCGUGGGGAUCAAACAGG